This 5864-nucleotide long non-coding RNA is filed under the name Citrus x clementina. RNAcentral describes it as "Citrus clementina (C. clementina) long non-coding RNA (CCLE_LNC002014)". The record is from RNAcentral. Lineage: Eukaryota; Viridiplantae; Streptophyta; Magnoliopsida; Sapindales; Rutaceae.
UUCCCGACGCCUUCGAGAACUUAACGUCGCCCUGCCUCGAUGAACAUCCAUGGGCGGAUUUUCCGUUCACCGGAUUUGCUGCCAUGGUUGCUGCUAUCGGGACUCUGAUGAUUGAUGCUUUUGCAACUUCUUAUGCGACCUCUUAUUAUCGCAAGUCUCACUUUGGUGAAGCGGAGGAUAACGUAUCAGAUGAAGAGAAAGUUGGGGAGCAUGCAGGUCACGUGCAUGUUCAUACUCAUGCAACUCAUGGCCAUGCUCAUGGAUCUAUUGAAUAUGCUGGUGAAUCGGAGCUUCUACGACACCGUGUCAUAUCCCUGGUUAUAAUUUAUUUAUUUAUUUUUAAAUUUUCAUGCAUAUAUAAAAUGAUGGUGAAUUUUUAAUUAUAUUGGUAAAUUAAUUAAUUAAUUUUUUAAAAAAUUUCAUUUUGGGUUAUUUUUUUCGUUAGGUUUUGGAGUUGGGAAUUCUUGUGCACUCGGUAAUCAUUGGAAUUUCAUUGGGUACUUCUGAGAGUCCAAAAACUAUUAAGCCUUUGGUUGCAGCGUUGACUUUUCAUCAAUUCUUUGAAGGAAUGGGUCUUGGUGGUUGCAUUACGCAGGUAAUUGAUAUUUUCUAUUUAUGAUUAAAUAAAGUUUGACCAAUUUGACAGUUGUCCAUUCUUUUAAUUAUUAUUCUUACUUUGUAAGUUUUAAUUAAGAUGCUUGAUACAUGGUGCUAACUAGCCAUAAGAAUCAAUUAUCAAAUCACUUUUAUUUUGGAAAACUCUUUUUUUUUUUUGGUUAGAAAAAGGAAAAAACUUAUUUGAAGUUUUAAAAUUCUCUGUUUUUUUUUUUUACGCUGUUGACUAUAUGUGUGUACACAUAUGUAAUACUAAAGUCUUUUUGUGACAAUAUCCACCUAUGUACAAUCAAGUGGGCAAUAUGGCUCCAAAUUUCAUUAGUAAUUGAUGUUAACAAUUUUGUUUUAACGUGUUCGUUUUUAUAGGCAAAAUUCAAGUCUCGAGGAGUCGCAAUAUUGGCCUUGUUCUUCUCUUUGACAACCCCAGCUGGGAUAGCAAUAGGCAUUGGAAUAUCAAGUUUUUAUGACGAAAAUGACCCCACUGCUCUUAUUGUUGAAGGGAUAUUCAACGCAGCAGCAGCUGGAAUCCUAAUAUACAUGUCCUUGGUUGAUCUUCUUGCUGCAGAUUUUAUGAAUCCGAAGAUGCAAGACAAUAAAAGGCUUCAAUUUGGAGCACAUGUUUCUCUUCUUUUAGGAGCUGGUUGCAUGUCCUUGUUAGCCAAAUGGGCUUAAAAAUCAUAGAGAUUUUUUCGGCAAUUUUUGUUUAUCCAAUAGUUUAAUUUGCGGCAGUUUUUGUACAGACAUUUUGAUGGAUGUUUACUAUCUGUAAAAUAACUUAAAUUGAUUAGGGUUAAGUGUAGCGUUUUAAAAUUUAAAGAGGGUAAGUGUCAUAACUCAUUUGAUUUUGGGUGUGAAUCUUUGUAACUUAAACUUGAAGGGAUUUGUAAUUUUUCCUUGUACAUAUUUUAUUUCUUUUGAUUAAAGAUCAUUACUCGUCGGUGAGCUUUAAAUAAUAAAUUCCACAAAGCCCCUGCCAAAAAGGGGUAAAAAAUAAAAGGAAAGAAAAGAAAAGGUAUGAACUAAUUUGAAAAGAAGAUGAUAAAGAUCAUGGUGAUGAUAUUGACUCAAUUGAGGAAGAAAACUCAAACUCGUAGUGUUUAUCGAUGGCCAUUGAUACAUCAAUAUUACACAUCAAUGUAUGUAUAUACAUACGCACAUCAAUAUUGCUAUGUUUGCAAGUUUGUAAUAAAAAAUAACUUUGGUAUUCAACCCAAUGUGUCGUUAUAAGAAAAUGACACAUGUCAAAUGAUUACUUAUAUUUUCACUUUCACUUGAUAGUUUGUAUGAACACUUUGUAUAUGCCGUGUUAAUAUCAAAUAUGUCAUAUCAGUUGGGUAUAAUCAGUGGCGGACCCAGAAACUAAAAUGAGGGGGGGCUUAGUUUAAAAAUUUUUAUUUAACUUAAAUUUUUUUAAUGUUCACUCGAAUACAUUUUAAGUCUUAUAAACUCAAAUUUUAUUACUUUUUUUUUAAAUUCUAAAUAAUAAUAGUAAUAAAUUAUUAUUUUUAAAUGCGUGAAAAUAUUAUUUUUCGAAGUAGUUUCUACAAAAUAUUUAAAAAAAUAAAAUAAUGUGGCUAAUGGGAUUUGAACCAAGGUUUUAGAAUCAUUAAAUAACACUCUUACCAUUGAACCACAAGUCUUUUAAUAUAUGAAAAAUGUGUCCAAAUUAUUUUAUCUAACUUUUUCAGAAGGGACUUGGGGUACAUUUAAAAGAAAACUUAAUGGUCCAGGGGGGGUUGAAGCCCCUCCUGGACCUUAAUUGGGUCCGCCCAUGGGUAGAACCAUAUAAAAUUUAUAUUCUAACUAUAUGUAAUUAUAGACUUAAGUGAAAAAUAUAGAUUUAGUUGGUCUUUUAGUGAAAAUAAGGGUAUUACAAACAUUGUCCUUCAUAUGGCAAGCUAGAACAAUAUAUGAAUGGGUCGACGAGGUUAAGUCAAGAGAAACCUAAAAACGCAAGCUGGUUGAAGCCAGCCACUUGCUACUUGCUAUUGCCAAAAGAGAGGAAAAACGACAUCGUAAUCCACUAGGUACGGACUACUAAUUAAUUAGCUGAGUUGUCUCCUUUUACUUCCAAAAACGUCCAAACUCAUCUUGUAAAACUUUCAAGAUUCUGAAUUUUGAUUCCUUAAUUUUACUUAAGAAUUUGGUCUUUAUCUAAGUUUUAAAUAAAGUGUUUUAAUAAGUUAUAAAAAAUAAUUACCAUUUCUCAUAAUUUCAGGGGCAUUCCGAGAAUCGAACUCGGGACCUCUCGCACCCAAAGCGAGAAUCAUACCACUAGACCAAAUGCCCAGUGACAAAUUGAAACUUCCUUACAAAAUAUUAAUCUUGUUUCUAAAUUGAAGUCAUUACACACAGCUUCAUACUUCUUCGUUUCCAUUAAUAAGAAUUUGACUGAGAGAAUGGCGGCAACUUGAUUCCAUGCAAACAGACUGAUGAAUGAUCACGACAAAGGUGAAAUUGUUUCUGAGUAAAACUUGGAACAAAACUUGACACGUACAUGAACACAGAGAGUCAAAUUAACAAGCUAGCCAACAUCCAAAAUGGCCUACAAAUUCAUAACAAAACGACAUGGGGAUUUGCCACUUGCCAGAUUCCAAUCUCUAGACAAUGCACACAUCUUUUGGUUGAAAACUCGAGCUCUGUUAAAAUAUCUUUUUGUUAAAUAUCUCAAGCUCUGCCAAGGGAGUUGACGUUCAAUCGUUAUCUCAUUCCUAUAUACGUUUCACAUCUCAGGAGCUGAACUAAAGGAUUCAAGUAUAAGAAUAGGAUGUAAUUAUUAAGAUCGUUAACACGUACAAACAUUGCCGAUACUACGAUCAUCAAAUCUGAUUUCAUACUUAACAAAUUAAUUAUUUAUUUAACAAAUAAAUUAGUACCCUAAUUAAUAACUUGAUCAGUGCGGAUAUGAUUUAUGAAAGAUGUAUAUAUGCCACGGGGCAACAAAUUGACUACAAGGUAAUAACAUUAAAUGUUGGACUAGUAGCUUGUUACCAUUCAUUCAUUUUUUAUUUUAUUUUUAACAUUCAUAUAUAAUAUUUAAUAUGAUAUUAAUACAACAUGAUCCCAUGUUACAAGUUAAUUUCAGCAUCAUUGUUAUAGUUUUCAUGUUCAACCUUACAAGCAAACUCCUAAGUCUAUUCAUAUGAGGUGCAAGUGCAAGUAUGCAACUGGCAGAGCUUGAAAAACUUUUUGAGGUUCAUGGUCCUAUGAUAAAGUUAUCAAAAGUAUUUAACAUUAUGCUCUUUAUUUAAUUCUUCUAUAAACUUCUGUCAAAUAAUAGAACCUUAGGAGGGACCCAAUUGGCUAAAUCCCAUCACAGUCUCACAACUGGUCCUGAAGCUUUCUUUUACAUGAACUGCUUAGAAGCAUUUCAGAAUUUUCCUUACCUUUUCUUCUGAAUGAUUUAAGGAAUAAUUGAAAUUAAAAUUGAAUAAUUUUCGUUGCCUUUUUAUCCCAAAAUGGUAUAUUUUCUUGAAUCCAAAACCAGUUUGAAUAUUGAUAUUUGAUACAGCCCCUUGUAACUACAAAAUAAGAUUUUAGGGUCAAAAACUUUUAGUCAGUUAGGUUAGGGUUUUAUUUUUGACAUAUAUUUUAUUGUUUAAAAGGGAAAACAAAUGAUUAAAUAUAACCGUCAUGUUACCCACGGUUUGAUACAAGGAUGAGGAUUCUCUCUUGAUUUGAGCACACCUGAUCUUUUACAGAUUUUGUGUCACUUGUAUUUUAGUAUUAGUGUAUGAUUAGAAUUUAAUUACCUUUUCUUUUUAAUUUCUUAACCACCAAUCAUAUUAAUAAAAUUUACUCAAAAAAAAAAUCAGACUAGACUAGGAGAGGAUCUCAAUCUUUGAUACAACCCUCCUUUUUUUUUUUUAAUAUACUUCACACUCAGUAUAAAAAAAGACCAUAUUUCAUUUUAUUAUUUUAAAAUUGCAUUGACUAAACUGUAAAUAUUGAAUUUUAGAUUUGGUUAGCCAACCAAGAAGAUCGAAAAUCUAGCUAAUACUGUUAUCCGGCUGGCUUGUCAAAGAAAAAAAAAUUAAAUGAGUCAAUUAUUAUUUCAACAUAAUAUCGACAUUGCAAGCUUGACUUAACCAAUUUUAGCCUACAGUUGUAGUGAGAAUGCUUUGAAAUUCCUUUCUGGCUGCUUAGUAUGUCGACAUAUUAUCAACACUUUGCUAUUUUUCAAUCCUUGAGAUUCCCAUCCAAAUUUUCAACUAGCCAGUCCCUAAUUGCAGGCCACUUUUAAUUCUGUGGUCAAAUUAAUUAUUUCGUCUAAUAAUUACCAUAACUUUACAAAACGAAGAAACAACCCAUAUACAGAAGUUUGAUUCUACUCGUAACUUGAUUCUUACGGAAUCGUGUCCUCAUUAUUUCUUCAAAGCUACUUUUGAGAUGAUCAUCGAACGCUAAAGCGAAUUAAACCUUAAUUGGCACUUAGCGUUUUAUCCGAUCUCUUCUGUUUGUUCUAUUAAUUUCUUUUAUUUUGUUUUCUUAUUCUCUUUCAGUUUCAGUACUCGAUGGGGUCGGUGCAUGGGUCACAAUGAUUUUAUGAUGCUCUAGAGAUCAACAAUCACGCGCUUUCACAUAAACUCUGCACUAUAAACAAUUUCCUCUCAAAUAUUCUCAUCAUACAAAAAUAAAAAUCGUGAUAUUGUUUUCAGAUUUCAGAUUCUUUAUCAUGAUCACUUCUCAUCGUCUUUUCAUCACUUUCUUUUGCAUUCUUCUAAUACUACUUCCCAACGUAGUACGAGGAGAAUGCACGUGCGAUCCUGAAGACGAUGAUCGAGACAAGACUCAAGCCUUAAAAUAUAAACUCGCCGCCAUCGCUUCGAUACUCGUGGCCGGAGCCAUCGGAGUUUUACUUCCGGUCCUCGGAAAAACUAUCAAGGCACUAAGUCCGGAGAGAAAUAUUUUCUUCCUAAUCAAGGCCUUCGCCGCCGGAGUUAUAUUAUCGACGGGGUUCAUCCACGUGCUUCCCGACGCCUUCGAGAACUUAACGUCGCCCUGCCUCGAUGAACAUCCAUGGGGGGAUUUUCCGUUCACCGGAUUCGCUGCCAUGGUUGCUGCUAUCGGGACUCUGAUGAUUGAUGCUUUUGCAACUUCUUAUGCGACUUCUUAUUAUCGCAAGUCUCACUUUGGUGAAGCGGAGAAUAACGUAUCAGAUGAAGAGAAAGUUGGGGAGCAUGCAGGUCACGUGCAUGUUCAUACCCAUGCAACUGAUGGGCAUGCUCAUGGAUUUCUUGAAUAUUCCG